GACGAACGCUGGCGGCGUGCUUAACACAUGCAAGUCGAACGGAAAGGCCCUGCUUUUGUGGGGUGCUCGAGUGGCGAACGGGUGAGUAACACGUGAGUAACCUGCCCUUGACUUUGGGAUAACUUCAGGAAACUGGGGCUAAUACCGGAUAGGAGCUCCUGCUGCAUGGUGGGGGUUGGAAAGUUUCGGCGGUUGGGGAAGGACUCGCGGCUUAUCAGCUUGUUGGUGGGGUAGUGGCUUACCAAGGCUUUAACGGGUAGCAGGCCUGAGUGGGUGACCGGCCACGUUGGGACUGAGAUACGGCCCAGACUCCUACGGGAGUCAGCAGUGGGGAAUAUUGCACAAUGGGCGGAAGCCUGAUGCAGCAACGCCGCGUGCGGGAUGACGGCCUUCGGGUUGUAAACCGCUUUCGCCUGUGACGAAGCGUGAGUGACGGUAAUGGGUAAAGAAGCACCGGCUAACUACGUG
This 468-nucleotide ribosomal RNA is filed under the name uncultured bacterium. RNAcentral describes it as "partial 16S ribosomal RNA". It matches the Rfam family "Bacterial small subunit ribosomal RNA", at positions 28 to 507 of the family's 1533-position model. The record is from RNAcentral.